RNAcentral lists this ribosomal RNA (253 nucleotides) under uncultured bacterium. RNAcentral describes it as "partial 16S ribosomal RNA". It matches the Rfam family "Bacterial small subunit ribosomal RNA", at positions 524 to 776 of the family's 1533-position model. The record is from RNAcentral.
GACGGAGGAUGCAAGCGUUAUCCGGAAUGAUUGGGCGUAAAGCGUUCGCAGGUGGCUGUUCAAGUCUGCUGUCAAAGACCGGGGCUUAACCCUAGAAAGGCAGUGGAAACUGAACGGCUGGAGUGCAGUAGGGGUAGAGGGAAUUCCCAGUGUAGCGGUGAAAUGCGUAGAGAUUGGGAAGAACACCGGUGGCGAAAGCGCUCUGCUGGACUGCAACUGACACUGAGGGACGACAGCUAGGGGAGCGAAAGGG